Molecule: long non-coding RNA, 160 nt
Filed under: Fukomys damarensis (Damara mole-rat)
Lineage: Eukaryota; Metazoa; Chordata; Mammalia; Rodentia; Bathyergidae
Description: lncRNA (ENSFDAG00000023931.1)
Source: RNAcentral
GAGGUGUGAGAAAAGAAAGUGUGAUACCACAGAGGAAAUUGAAGAUGAAUUCCUAAACUUGGGCUUUCAGUGGGCAAAGAAUCUUAGAUAUAUCUUUUGUACUCCCCUGUGUACUGGAGGUAAAAGUGCCUGAAUUCCUAAAAGUGAGCUUUGAGUAGAC